UGCUGCUCUGUUCAAGGCCCUGCUCCCAACACUGCUCUGUUCAAGGCCCUGCUCCCCAACACUGCUCUGUUCAAGGCCCUGCUCCCCAACACUGCUCUGUUAAAGGCCCUGCUCCCCAACACUGCUCUGUUCAAGGCCCUGCUCCCCAACACUGGGUUCACCUUCUCACCACUUCCAUCAAAUCCUGUCCUCAGGCUCAUCAAAGCGGCAGAGUGGACAUCUGAAGGAUACUCAUUGAGGAAACCAUUGACUGCCAGGACGUCACUUCAGGGACAUGAGUCAACCUUGUUUAUAAUUUGUACACACCCAGCACAACCAAUGACUGACCGUGGUCAGUACUGCAUGUUCACUGUUGGAAGUGUUCAAGAAUUUUGGACAAACGUAGAAUUGACGACUAGUUCAACCUAUUCAUGUGUGGGCGAGGCCAGGAUUCUUCAGGUGGCCAGGGUUCUACCUUGCCUGGGGUUCUUCAUGUGGGUGUGGUCCGGGUUCUAGCUGGCCUGUGGUUCUUCAUGUGGACAGGGUUCUACCUGAUUGAUCUCCACAUGGUCCGUGUUCUACCUGGUUGUUCUCCACAUGGUCCGGGUUCUACCUGGUUGUUCUCCACAUGGUCAGGGUUCUACCUGGUUGUUCUCCACAUGGUCAGGGUUCUACCUGGUGGUUCUCCACAUGGUCAGGGUUCUACCUGGUGGUUCUCCACAUGGUCAGGGUUCUACCUGGUGGUUUUUCACAUCUUCAGGGUUCGCCCUGGCCUGGGGGUCUUCAGGUGGACAGGGUUCGAUCUGGCCUGGGGGUCUUCAGGUGGUCAGUGUUCUACCUGGCCAGGGGGUCUUCGGGUGGUCAGUGUUCUACCUGGCCUGGUUGUUCUUGAGGUGGUCAGGGUUUGACCUGGCCUGGGGGUCUUCAGGUGGACAGGGUUCGACCUGGCCUGGGGGUCUUCAGGUGGUCAGGGUUCGACCUGGCCUGGGGGACUUCAGCCGGGCAAGGCCGUCGUUCGACGUGACGUGGCAUUCUUGGUGUUCACACUCGCAUCACAAAAAAUGUAAAUGGUCAUUCAUGCUUGAAAGACUGCGACGUAGCUGCCCUUGCUACCCCGACAUGAUCGAUGGCUGGUAAGCCCUGUGGAUUGUAUCUUCUGGACUCCUGUGCUGGGAUGCAUGUCUUUCUUGGGCUGAAUUUUAACGUAUUGGAAGAGGCUAGCUGGACCUGGGAGAUGGUUCCCCUUUGAAUCAGAAACCAUCUUGGAAACAUCCCAACUAUGGUUCUCUUCAAGCUGCAGUUCUGCUCUUCUUCAGAUGAGGAGGUGAAGAAAUCCUCACUGGAGCUUCAAGAUCUUUGAAGAGGAAUAUUGAAAUGUGCACAAUGGUUCUCUCCCUUAAGCGCUGUGGUGUAUUCUAGUCGCUGAGAAGGAGCCCUCCCAUCCUACUCGUGGCGUUUCUCCUUGUCCCUGUCACUGUGUUGACGGAUGUUCCAGGUCACGUAACUGACGGGAGGGGGGCAUGUCUACAGAACGUUAGACUUUCGACAGCACUGUAUCCUAGCAUGCAUCGCUUGUCACACAGACCACACCUGGAAUAAUAUGGCGAUGCUCAUGUGAUAUGAAGCGAGGAAGUGGCCAAAAGAAAUGAGAUUAGUUUAUUUUGUACUCUAGCAUUGUUAAAUGUUAAUGUUAGCUGAAAUGUUUAGUCAAAAUAAUUUGUACAUAAACCAACGGCAACAAACUACCAGAUCGUCUAAGGUAAGUCUGUUGGCUGUAUUUUGCAACGAGACGACCAAAGGAUCACAAGAUCUGCAUCGUCGUUCCGCAUCGUCGUUCCGCUCAAGGUGAGGUGCUGGUUACGUUACUUAUGGGUGGUUCAAACUGGAACGUUACGAUUCCAGUAUGACAGGGUUUGGGCUCACUGCGGAGGUUGGUAGUUAGCUUUGUGCAUGUUGUGGACCUCUAAGGCUGCAGUACUGCGUAUGGUGGAUGUUGAGUCACCUGGGAGGGCAACUGGCAGUACGAUUGGGAUUUGCGUAACCUCAUCCGCACCUUAUUAUGGCGUCUGGUAGUAUGAUCCAUAUCGGCCUUUGCGUAAACCUCAUCACUAAUGAGCGUACCCAAUUAAAGUAAUUUGGCAGUUCCCCAUUGCUAUCGGUAACCAUCUGCGAUAUUUGGUAAAUUUAUUUUGCCCUAGGUACAGCACACUUAAAAUAACUGUUUAAAGUUAUCCCAUAAAUACCGCACAACGACUUUGAUAAUUGUCCUCCAAAAGCGACUCUCGGUGCAUUUUUGGCGUACACAUUUUCGGGUUGCGUAAAAGAUGCAGAGAUCGGCAUCUCCAUACUACGGCUUUUUGGAUCUUCAACGACCCAGCAGCUGAAUGAGGCUUGGUAUCAUUUUACUAUCAUAAAUUACUAUUGAUAAUGCUAGUGCUUUAAAUACCUGGGCUGUAAUUGGCCCGGUUAUAUCCAACCAAAUGGAAGUUAAAUUACAGCUACAGAGCCGAGAUUGUAACUAGUUUUUCACGAGCUGAACUUUGCUUCAGUGCUUUGGCUGAAUAACUUAACUCUUUAGUCUCCUAGACUUCAGAAACAAAAGGAAAGGUUCAAUGUAAACGUGCUUAAUUGCGUAAAAACAAAUGGCAUAGCUGUCCAGACGAGUCAAGUAAAUGGUUGCAAAUGCUCAACGUUGUGAUGUUUGUAAACGGGUGAAUGUUGUGUUAACAGUGGGGAACUCCAGGCCUUGCUGUCUUGAAGCUGUAUGAUGAGAAAUAUGUCAAUCCAACCCCACAGACCAUGAAUCCUUGGUUGAAGAGAGCUGUUGAAGGAACCAUGCAUCUGGAGGAAGACCUUGACUCUACCUGCCAACCGGUAGUACUGGUAAGUUUGCAUGAACUGAACAUGGUGGACUUGAGGCGAAAUCACUGCUGUUUGUUCCAGACCAGGACUCGUGGUGGCAGGGAGCUGAUGGAGCCGUGCUGAGGACCUGCAGGUGAAGGACGUCCCUUGUGGGGGUAAUGACAAGACACUGAGAUGACGUAGAUGAAUCACCAGGAUCCGCUUGGAGGCUACGAUGUGACUGCUGAGCUUUCUGGAAGUCCCGGAGUCCUUGGCGGAGGAGAGCUGAUGGAGGAGCAGGGCAUCUGGAGAAGGACCAUGAAUCUACCUGCCAACCGGUAGUACUGGUAAGUUUGCAUGAACUGAACAUGGUGGACUUGAGGCGAAAUCACUGCUGUUUGUUCCAGACCAGGACUCGGUGGUGGCGGGGAGCUGAUGGAGCCGUGCUGAGGACCUGCAGGUGAAGGACGUCCCUUGUGGGGGUAAUGACAAGACACUGAGAUGACGUAGAUGAAUCACCAGGAUCCGCUUGGAGGCUACGAUGUGACUGCUGAGCUUUCUGGAAGUCCCGGAGUCCUUGGUGGAGGAGAGCUGAUGGAGGAGCAGGGCAUCUGGAGAAGGACCAUGAAUCUACCUGCCAACCCGUAGUACUGGAAGGCAGGGCAGAGGCAGGUGAUGGGAGAUCCUACCUGGUGAAGGAUCUCUGGCUGGGGCGAGUGACACCCGACUCCAUCGACGACCACUGCGGAGAGGGAUGAAGGAGGAGCAUGCAUCUGGAAGGUGCAGUUGAAAUGCUGUGUUCAGUCUGGGGCAGACACACCUGAGCUGCAUCACAACUGUAACUCUGACCUGCUGGAGUCCUCCAGAGGUCAACAUACGGCGCCUCAUCACAGCUCCUCGCUGGCCUGUGAAUUAAUCUGCUCCACUCACAGCACGUCACCAUGUGCUGCUCGUUGGGAUGCUCCCAAUGUGUUCCAUCGAGGGUUCCUUCCUCGAAACUGGGAGGGCCCCUUCCUCUCCACACUGGGAGGGUUCCUUGUCCUUCAAGGUGUCAGGGUUCAGUGUUAGGGACAGAGUUAGGGACAGAUGGUUGAGCUGGUUUCACGAUAUACGCUUUGUGUUCAAGGGUGGAUGGACAUCUGACAAAACGCUUCCCCCAAAAUGUUUUA
Long non-coding RNA from Gadus macrocephalus (Pacific cod), 3989 nucleotides. RefSeq lists it as uncharacterized. The transcript has 9 exons. The record is from RefSeq and is a predicted model, not a curated record. NCBI's taxonomy places the organism in Eukaryota, Metazoa, Chordata, Actinopteri, Gadiformes, Gadidae.